AGAUUGAGAAAAGGAUUGGCGAAUAUUAUGAUCGAGAAAUGUUGGAUAUAAUAAUUCAAACUUAAUUAAAAUAUAGUUAUAGAUAAGUUUAAAUUUUUUAUUUGAUUGUAGUUAGGAUAUAUACUUAUCCAAAGUAAAAUUGGAUUUAUCAUCUGUUAUGAUUUGAUGGCUAUAUAUAGUUAGGCAUGGCUUAAUUAAAAAAUAAGCCAUAGUAGACAUGGCUGCAUGGGGUUGGCUCAGAAUGUAAUUUUGCCUUUUAUUAAUAAAGUAUUAGUUUAGUUAUUUUUUACCUCCUCUAAUAUCUUUUCUUCAUAUUAUUUUGUUCUAUUUUAGAUUUUGGGUUAUAUAAUCGGUAUUAGCACAAAUAUCAGUUCCAACAAGUGUUAUCAGAUAAAAUCACGCUUUUCAACAAGAAAUAUUCAUAUUUUGCCAAUUAU
RNAcentral lists this long non-coding RNA (437 nucleotides) under Ananas comosus (pineapple). Its description in RNAcentral is "long non-coding RNA (ACOM_LNC008717)". Lineage: Eukaryota; Viridiplantae; Streptophyta; Magnoliopsida; Poales; Bromeliaceae. The record is from RNAcentral.